AUUGAACGCUGGCGGCAUGCUUUACACAUGCCAGUCGAGCGGUAACCGGCCUUCGGGUGCUGACGAGUGGCGAACGGGUGAGUAAUGCAUCGGAACGUACCCAGAGGUGGGGGAUAACGCAGCGAAAGCUGUGCUAAUACCGCAUGUGAUCUGAGGAUGAAAGCGGGGGACCGAGCAGCAAUGUUUGGCCUCGCGCCUUUGGAGCGGCCGAUGUCGGAUUAGCUAGUUGGUGGGGUAAAGGCCUACCAAGGCGACGAUCCGUAGCUGGUCUGAGAGGACGACCAGCCACACUGGGACUGAGACACGGCCCAGACUCCUACGGGAGGCAGCAGUGGGGAAUUUUGGACAAUGGGCGCAAGCCUGAUCCAGCAAUGCCGCGUGCGGGAAGAAGGCCUUCGGGUUGUAAACCGCUUUUGGCAGGAACGAAACGGUGUCCGCUAAUACCGGGCGCUAAUGACGGUACCUGCAGAAUAAGCACCGGCUAACUACGUG
This 492-nucleotide ribosomal RNA is filed under the name uncultured bacterium. RNAcentral's name for it is "partial 16S ribosomal RNA". It matches the Rfam family "Bacterial small subunit ribosomal RNA", at positions 29 to 507 of the family's 1533-position model. The record is from RNAcentral.